GUCACACUGUGACUGAUUAAACCACUGCACUUCCCUCCCCCAGGGUCACUGGGUUGGGCCAACUCAGUGCCUAAUAUGUAGCUACUGUCAGCAUUAAGGUUGCACUGAAGAUGCUACAGAUAGUUUCCAGUCUCCUCCGUGCUUCUGCAGGAGUCUUGUGCAAUGUCCAAAAGCAUCUGAACCUUGUGGGAGCCCAAGUGCCUGUGACUAGAAUCUUUGUGUUUGAAGGGAUCCCUGUGAAGACAGCAGGCUGGUCUCAUUGUGGGACACUGAUCCUAUUCUACCUGGAAUGCUGAGCCACUUGCUCCUUUCACUGGCCACGGAGACAUCUGGAGAACUAGCUUCGAC
RNAcentral lists this long non-coding RNA (348 nucleotides) under Cyanistes caeruleus (blue tit). Its description in RNAcentral is "lncRNA (ENSCCEG00000016347.1)". Lineage: Eukaryota; Metazoa; Chordata; Aves; Passeriformes; Paridae. The record is from RNAcentral.